RNAcentral lists this small RNA (148 nucleotides) under Macaca mulatta (Rhesus monkey). Its description in RNAcentral is "Metazoan signal recognition particle RNA (ENSMMUG00000051942.1)". Lineage: Eukaryota; Metazoa; Chordata; Mammalia; Primates; Cercopithecidae. The record is from Rfam by way of RNAcentral.
GCCAGGCGUGGUGGCGAGCGCCUGUAAUCCCAGCUACUCAGGAGGCUGAGGCAGAAGAAUCACUGGAACCCAGGCAGCAGAGGUUGCAGUGGGCCAAGAUUGCACCACUGCACUCCAGCCUGGGUGACACAGUGAGACUGUGUCUCAA